UACGGAGGGUGCGAGCGUUGUCCGGAAUCACUGGGCGUAAAGGGCGCGUAGGCGGCCUGGCAAGUCGAUGGUGAAAGCCCGAGGCUCAACUUCGGGUCGGCCACUGAUACUGCUGGGCUUGAGUCGACUAGAGGCAGAUGGAAUUCCGGGUGUAGCGGUGGAAUGCGUAGAGAUCCGGAAGAACACCGGUGGCGAAGGCGGUCUGCUGGGGUCGAACUGACGCUGAGGCGCGACAGCGUGGGGAGCAAACAGGAUUAGAUACCCUGGUAGUCCACGCCGUAAACGAUGGGCACUAGGUGCUUGGGGGAGCGACCCCUUGAGUGCCGGCGCUAACGCAUUAAGUGCCCCGCCUGGGGAGUACGGCCGCAAGGCUGAA
RNAcentral lists this ribosomal RNA (376 nucleotides) under uncultured bacterium. Its description in RNAcentral is "bacterial SSU rRNA". It matches the Rfam family "Bacterial small subunit ribosomal RNA", at positions 524 to 898 of the family's 1533-position model. The record is from RNAcentral.